GAGUUUGAUCGUGGCUCAGAGUGAACGCUGGCGGCAGGCCUAACACAUGCAAGUCGAGCGGCAGCGCGGGGCAACCUGGCGGCGAGCGGCGGACGGGUGAGGAACACAUCGGAAUCUACCCAGUCGUGGGGGAUAACGUAGGGAAACUUACGCUAAUACCGCAUACGACCUGAGGGUGAAAGCAGGGGACCGCAAGGCCUUGCGCGAUUGGAUGAGCCGAUGUCCGAUUAGCUAGUUGGUGAGGUAAAGGCUCACCAAGGCGACGAUCGGUAGCUGGUCUGAGAGGAUGAUCAGCCACACUGGAACUGAGACACGGUCCAGACUCCUACGGGAGGCAGCAGUGGGGAAUAUUGGACAAUGGCGCAAGCCUGAUCCAGCCAUGCCGCGUGUGUGAAGAAGGCCUUCGGUUGUAA
RNAcentral lists this ribosomal RNA (413 nucleotides) under uncultured Gammaproteobacteria bacterium. RNAcentral describes it as "bacterial SSU rRNA". It matches the Rfam family "Bacterial small subunit ribosomal RNA", at positions 9 to 428 of the family's 1533-position model. Lineage: Bacteria; Pseudomonadati; Pseudomonadota; Gammaproteobacteria. The record is from RNAcentral.